GAGGGUAUAGCUUAGUGGGAGAGCAUGUGCUUAGCAUGCUGAAGGUCCUGGGUUCAAUCCCCAGUACCUCCA
This 72-nucleotide transfer RNA is filed under the name Camelus bactrianus (Bactrian camel). It matches the Rfam family "tRNA". From Rfam's summary of the family: Transfer RNA (tRNA) molecules are approximately 80 nucleotides in length. Their secondary structure includes four short double-helical elements and three loops (D, anti-codon, and T loops). The record is from Rfam by way of RNAcentral. RNAcentral also lists the same sequence under 2 other names. Lineage: Eukaryota; Metazoa; Chordata; Mammalia; Artiodactyla; Camelidae.